RNAcentral lists this long non-coding RNA (1254 nucleotides) under Macaca fascicularis (crab-eating macaque). Its description in RNAcentral is "lncRNA (ENSMFAG00000064344.1)". Lineage: Eukaryota; Metazoa; Chordata; Mammalia; Primates; Cercopithecidae. The record is from RNAcentral.
CAGACAGAGGUGGAGCCGGUCCCAGGGACAGGGAUUAGAUGGGGAGACAGGAAGAGAGGUGGAGACAGAGUGGGGCAGGGAUGGCGGGAGACACACCCCCUGGUCACAGCCUCUGAGACCUGGGGGUGGUGGGCCCCCAGGGCGGGCGCCUCCCAUCCCCCUCCCAGUUCUCCUGGGGUCGGGAUAGGCGGAAAGGCUGAGUCAGGGAGGGCGGGCCCCGCUGGGAGAGAGCCCCUAGGUGGGCAUCCGGCCUCCACCCCCGUGUCUCCUGUCCGUCUGACAGGCCCUGGCCUCCUUCCACCACCUCCUGUCCUGCUCCUUUCCAUCCCUUCUCCCCUUCCUGCAUUUCUUUCCUUCCAUUCCUCCCCCUGUCUUCAUUCUGUCUCCUCCCCUCCCUCUCCAUUUCUCCUUUUCCUCUCCCUCCUCCCUCCCUCCCUCCUCCACCUUUUCCUCCAUUCUCCAUCAUUCUCCCUUCCUUUCCCGUUUCUCUGGAGCCUCCCUCUGGGGGGCUCUGUCCUCCCCUCACUUUGCCCUUUCUCUCUCCCUGCUGUGUGUCUUGGCCUGCCCCCCCCGUGCCCCUUAUCUCCUCUGUCUCCCACACUCUGGAAAGCCCAGCUGGGAUAUCCAGGUCGGAGCCUCACUGGCAGCCCCUGGAAGUCCAGAAUGAGGGGUCACUGCCUCUCGCCCACCCAGAAAGGGCGCAGGAGGGGGCAGCAAGAUUCCGGGGCCUGUCUGGCCAGAAGGAAAUGUCUGUGCUGUGGCCUGGUCACCCCCGCCCCCAGGACCUGCUGGGCUGCUGCCGCCCCUGGGCCGGGGCUGAGGCCGAGUAAACACAGCAAACACAGCCGCCGGCAGCCUGGGAUAUUUAUACCGAGGCUGGGCGUGGGUCCAGUGCCCACCACAGCCCCUGCCCUGCCCUGCUUUGCCUGCUGCCACAGCCAGCUCCAAGCCAGCGUGGCACCAGCCGGCAAGGGGAUGCGCCACAGACACAGCCUGCGCUGGGUAUGGAGGCCAACAGGCACUGGGCGCUCACGAUGCAGGCGGCUUCAUGGGUGUACCCUGUUCCCCUCCCCUGAAAACACCAGCACACAAUGUGGACCCACACUCGCAGCCACUUGGGAACACACAUCCACCCCUGCUGAGAACCUGAGAAUGCGAAAUGCCCUCAACGGUGAUGCAAAACGGACCCACACAACUCCACAUACUGCAGUCACCAGCCUGCAUGUGGGAACACAGCACGCAGACACCACUUAG